RNAcentral lists this ribosomal RNA (634 nucleotides) under Penicillium angulare. RNAcentral describes it as "eukaryotic LSU rRNA". It matches the Rfam family "Eukaryotic large subunit ribosomal RNA", at positions 1 to 649 of the family's 3401-position model. The record is from RNAcentral. Lineage: Eukaryota; Fungi; Ascomycota; Eurotiomycetes; Eurotiales; Aspergillaceae.
UUGACCUCGGAUCAGGUAGGGAUACCCGCUGAACUUAAGCAUAUCAAUAAGCGGAGGAAAAGAAACCAACAGGGAUUGCCCCAGUAACGGCGAGUGAAGCGGCAAGAGCUCAAAUUUGAAAGCUGGCUCCUUCGGGGUCCGCAUUGUAAUUUGCAGAGGAUGCUUCGGGAGCGGUCCCCAUCUAAGUGCCCUGGAACGGGCUGUCAUAGAGGGUGAGAAUCCCGUAUGGGAUGGGGUGUCCGCGCCCGUGUGAAGCUCCUUCGACGAGUCGAGUUGUUUGGGAAUGCAGCUCUAAAUGGGUGGUAAAUUUCAUCUAAAGCUAAAUAUUGGCCGGAGACCGAUAGCGCACAAGUAGAGUGAUCGAAAGAUGAAAAGCACUUUGAAAAGAGAGUUAAAAAGCACGUGAAAUUGUUGAAAGGGAAGCGUUUGCGACCAGACUCGCCUACGGGGUUCAGCCUGCCUUCGGGCAGGUGUACUUCCCCGUGGGCGGGCCAGCGUCGGUUUGGGCGGCCGGUCAAAGGCCCUCGGAAUGUAACGCCUCUCGGGGCGUCUUAUAGCCGAGGGUGCCAUGCGGCCUGCCCGGACCGAGGAACGCGCUUCGGCUCGGACGCUGGCUUAAUGGUCGUAAACGACC